UUAGUCCAAUAAGUUAGGCGCUGCCAUCUUGGAAUGGUGGUGACAUUAUUUAUCAUAAACCCAUCUCCGGGACUUCGCCUCCAGGAGAUCAGAACCGGUUCAAUUUUCAUUUUGGGGGGGGGGGGGGGGUUAUUUGUGAAGCGGAAAUUACAGAGCGAAAUGACAACCACCGGAGCGAGUGAGUGAGGGGAUGGAAGGAAGGGACGUCUCAGUGACCCAGCGAGCGUGGCCGCUUUAAGAGGAGCCGAGCAGAGUAGUCGCUGCAACCCCAGGCUGGGCGUCAAACCACCGCCACCUCCACCGCCGUCUCACCGCGUCUCAAAGGACCUCCCCUCCGGAAAGCUGGGAUCAGAGCGGGUCGAGAACGUGAUUUUGCGCCGUCAUCUAUAUAUAUAUCUAUAUCUAUCUAUCUUGUGUUGCCACAGAUUGCUGAUCUAGCUAAAAAGACGAGGCCACAUUAUCACAUCUCGGAAAAAUCCAUUUACCGUGACAAAGAAUGCGGUCUUUUGUUUAUUUGUUCUAAGGAGGAGAUGCCGGUCGACUCGCUCGUUGCAGAGGAGAUAUUUGCCGAGAUGGUACUCCAGGGUAUUCAGGAGAUGUAUUUCUCAAUCAAAACGUUGGGACCCGUGCAAGACAGAUCAAGCUAAUCUCCAGCCCCCCCCCCCCCCCCCCCCCCCCCCCCCCGUUAUUUAUCUACUGAAGAUUUCUAUCCAUGGAGGAAAGCGAGACGAUUCCUUUACCAGAUCACGAAUUCACGUUGGUUGAAAAUAGAUUCGUCAGCUUUAGAGGGUUUUUUUUUGUUUGUAUUUUAUUUUUUUAAAGUCCAUGUAAGAGGCCGACUGAACGAGGCGGUUCUGGGGCGCGUUUCCCGGCGGCUUCCACAAACAACCUGAAGAAGUGAGACCCGGCUCAUGAUAAGCCUAUUUUCGAAAUCAAGAGGAAUGCAACACUAUCCGGAACACGUGGAGCCGUUUGCAGCUGAGCUGGGCUUUGAUCAAAGUUUCGUUUACAGAUGGAACUGCAGAUGCUGAAGAAACAAAAAUCGAAGGUGGACAGAAAUGCUGGAGGAACUCAGCGGGUGAGGCAGCAUCUAUGGAGCGAAGGACAUGGGAAAUAGGCAACGUUUCGGGCCGAAACCCGGAAGGGUUUCGGCCCGAAACGUUGCCUAUUUCCUUCGCUCCAUAGAUGCUGCCUCACAUCCCCGCUGAGUUUCUGCUAAAGUACCCAGACUAGGUUAGAGUACGUACACAAAAAAAUGCUGGAGAAACUCAGCGGGUGCAGCAGUAUCUAUGGAGCGAAGGAAACAGACAACGUUCCGGGCCGAAACCCCGUUAUUCUUUGGUAAGUUCACGACGUUAGAUCUUGCAAUGGGCUAUUUCCAGAAAGAUUGGCUGUUGCGAGAUUAGCAAGUGGCGGGUCCAAAACCCGGCACACAUUUCUGUACUGAUUCAGUUCUUGCCCUUUAUAAAACAGCAUAAAAAAAUAAAAAAAAUUAAAUCCGUGUUUGCCUUGUGUUGCUUUCCAA
Long non-coding RNA from Leucoraja erinaceus (little skate), 1525 nucleotides. RefSeq lists it as uncharacterized. The record is from RefSeq and is a predicted model, not a curated record. Lineage: Eukaryota; Metazoa; Chordata; Chondrichthyes; Rajiformes; Rajidae. The transcript has 4 exons.